AGUAGGGGUGAGAAACUGGCUUGGCUCUGUGUUACGAUAGUCAGUCUUUUUCUCUCUCCUAUC
RNAcentral lists this microRNA precursor (63 nucleotides) under Habropoda laboriosa. RNAcentral describes it as "mir-14 microRNA precursor family". It matches the Rfam family "mir-14 microRNA precursor family". Lineage: Eukaryota; Metazoa; Arthropoda; Insecta; Hymenoptera; Apidae. The record is from Rfam by way of RNAcentral.